GCAAUUUAUUUUUCACCAGAGCCUGGGGCCAAGCACAAAGCAGCUUCCCAGUAAAUACAAAGAGUUCAACUCCACUGAUCGAGAAGACUCAGGGCCUCAUGGCCUUGCUUUACACCCCGCCCCUCUGACUGCAGGGGGCUUGUGUCUUCUGGUGUCUUUGACUCAGUGGGGCAUGAAGCACAGAGCUCAAGGCUGGUGGGGGCCCCUCUGCAGGCAGGAUGUAGGGCAGCUUCAUGAGGCUGGGUUCCUGGGCGGCUUUGUCUCCAGAUCUCCAUCCCUGAGGUACACAGGUGAGGCAUGGCAGGCUACCGUGUGGGCCCAAAGUCUCCCAGCCCUUGGCUGCUCCCUCUCCUCACUUGCAGAGGCUGGGCGAUGCCAGGUGCCAUCGCUGCUUGCAGUUGCCCCUGCAGCCCGUGAGCUGGCAGAAGGCUGGCUCUGUCAAAAUUAGCCCCAAAGGUAGAAGUACAAGAAACAAAUGGCCAGAAAGAAGAGGAAUAGCUGCUCAGUGCUCACGGAGAAUCCCGUCUGCCUUCAGCUGAGUAGCUGUGUCCUAUAGCCCCUGGGUGCUGGGGCUGAGUAGGCUCCUCUUGCCCUACACCUGUUCUGCUUCCUCAGGUAGGUCUCCAGCUUGAGGCCACUCAGCUGCUAGGCACCUUUCCAUUCCCCAGGAAAUGCUGGAAGUAGGUCUGUAGACAAAGAGACCUGCCCCUGUUGCUCAGCCUCCUCUGGUGGCAUUGUGAUGCUGGCCUGACUGCCAUUAUGAUGGCCGCUGGGUGGGGGUGGGGCUGCUUCGGGCAGGGCCCCUCACGCAGAACUCUCAUGGGCAUCAUGAACCAGCUCCCUCCCUAGGCCUGCUGUUACCUGGCCCAGUCUCCCAGCCAGCAUCUUCCCUCCAUUCUGGGCAGGGGAGGGUCUAGGCUGGGAAUUGGCCAAAGCUGUGCUGUCCAGUGUAGUGGCUUCUAGCCACAUGUGGUUCUUGACUUAAAAGCAAAUAUAAUGUAAGACUCAGUUCCUAGUCCUGCCAGCCACAUUUCUACAGUAGUCACAUGUGGGUGUGUGUUGACUACGCAGACAAUGACCAGUUCCACCACAGGAAGUUCCACUGGCCAGUGCUAGAUCAAAUAGGAACUUGGUGAGACUGUCCCUGGGAGCCCUUUACCACUAUGAACCUGUCCAUGGGACAGGAGAGAAGGCUCUACUUGGAAAGAGCAGCAUAGUGUGUGGGGUUUUCUUGGGGGUGAGGUAGAUGAGCUUGAACCUCAUUCCCCCUGCACCAGGCACUGCCUUGGGUGGCACCCCCUGACCUACACUCCCUUCCAUACCAAGAGCUGCCAAGAGUGACCCUGCCACUCUUGAUGACCCAAAGGAUGACACAGUUUCCCCACUGGCGCAGAGAUAAGAAGAUGAAGGAGGAACAAAGCCUUGGGGUGGUGGGAUUCCAGUCCAAGCAUCCUCUGGAAAGAUGUGUAAAGAAUUCCUGCCUCUGGGUGUGGUGACACACCUGUAGCCCCUGGGGGGCUAAGGAAGGAGGAUCACUUGAGACCAGAAAUUUGAAGCCAAACCCAAGGAACAGACAAAACAGGCAGAGACCCUGUCUUUAAAGAAAAAAGAAAAGAAAAAAAAGAAAGAAUUCCUGCCCUACCAGCAAGUAGGUUGGGCUGCCAGGGCUGGUCCUUGUAGGACCCAGGAGCCAUCAGCCUGCACGGAGGGGCCAGCUGUAUCCAGCCUGUGGACCCAAGAACAAAUGACUUACACAUAUGUGAUUUUCAUGUGUUAUCCAGGAGGUCAUGGAGACUUGGAAGGCCAAGCAUAUUAAAAAUGCUUGCAUUUAAAAGCUGGGUGUGGUAGUGUAAUCCUAGCACUUGGCUGAAGCAGGAGGAUUGCUGUGAGUUCAAGGCCAGCCUGAACUACUAUAGCAAGACCCCAUCUCAAAAAAAUAAAGUUUGCAUUCAAACUUUUUUUUUUUUUUGGUACCGGGGAUCAGUCUUGGGUCAUUGUGCUUGGCGCAGCAGGUGAGUAAACCACUGAGCUAAAUCCCCAGCCCUGCAUUCAAACUUUUAAAAGGGACUGGGGUGUAGCUCAGUGUCAGAGUGCUUGCUUAACCAUGCAUGAAGAUCUGGAUUCAAUUCCCAGUACCUCAACAACAACAAAAACUAAAAACAGAAGGAGAAGAGAAGGAGAAUGAGAGGAAAAGUUCCUACAUGUUGAGCACAAUCCACAUAACUGGGGUUAGAAGGAAACUGAAACUCAUUAAGUGAGGAGCUGAUGUGACUGGCUGCAUUCUGUAGUUGGAGCCCACUGGCCAAAGAACCUGGGGAACCUUUUCACUUGAGUCCAGAUCCACCACACAGAAUGGGAAGCACAGCAGUCUCUGAGUGGAGCACCAACCUCAUGACCAAGUGGCCUUGGAAAACUCACUAUUAUUAUACCUCGGCACAAAAAGCAGACACUUCUCUAAAUAAAGGCUCUCAGAGCUGCCUUCGCAGGAGGGUGCAGCUCCUGGCUCCUUGAUCAAUUAGAACAGGAAAGUAGCCCUCAGGUGCAGCUUCUGGAAGAGAAAGGAAGGCCUUUCUGCUGCAGGGGGCCGGGGAGUGCAGGGAACAGGAUCCUGCGAGGUGUGUGAUGCAUGUGACUGAAGGAGAUCAAGUCUGAAGCAAACUGGGAGAUUGGGAAGCUGUGUGGGGGUCAGUACCAAAUAUGCUCAGAGUGAUCCAGGCAGAGUGGGAAGGCACAAGGGACAGUCCCAGGAAGACAUCAAGUAUUGGAAGGGUGGCUGGGACCACUGAAACCCCUCUCAACUGGUGGAGAGGAUUGGGCUUGAAAAUGGGAGGAACAGACCUGGGUGUGGCUGCAUAUACCUGUGAGGCUGAAGCAGGAGGAUUCCAAAUUCAAGGCCAGCUCAGGCACAUAGCAAGAC
Heterocephalus glaber (naked mole-rat) is the source of this 2917-nucleotide long non-coding RNA. The record is from Ensembl. NCBI's taxonomy places the organism in Eukaryota, Metazoa, Chordata, Mammalia, Rodentia, Bathyergidae.